Molecule: transfer RNA, 111 nt
Filed under: Anaerolineales bacterium
Lineage: Bacteria; Bacillati; Chloroflexota; Anaerolineae; Anaerolineales
Description: tRNA-OTHER
Rfam family: tRNA
About the family: Transfer RNA (tRNA) molecules are approximately 80 nucleotides in length. Their secondary structure includes four short double-helical elements and three loops (D, anti-codon, and T loops).
Source: RNAcentral
GGGUGGUGUGGCGGAAUGGUAAACGCGGCUCGCAAGGGCAUAUCGGACGCGAUAUGUCUGAACGGGCUGGUGCCGUAUGGUACCUUGAGGGUUCAAGUCCCUCCACCCCCC